AUGUGAGAAGACAUUAGAAGUUACUUCAAAAGGGAACUGGUAAUCUGGUAUCCAGGAAUGAAAUUUAGAAACUACAGAAGAAAAAUACACAAUCCUUCUGAUGAACUGAAUUAUGACUCAUGGGGCAGCUUGGAUGAUUUUUGCUUGCUGAAUUUUAUGGCCCGGUAGUACAUGUGGUAGUUCUCAUAUUUGGGGUCAUUGUAAAGUUUCCAUACGACUCAGAUUAGACUGAAUCAUUCCUUUUGAUCAGCUCCAUAAUCAAUAUUGAUUGUCAAAGGUGAAUGUAUCAUGUAAGGAUUCAGAUUUCAUUUAAGAAGAGUUUAUGGAAUGUUUACAGGACAUAACGAUCUGGCAUAGGCUUUGUCACAGAUACAGAGACAAUCAGGUAUGGAUCUUCUUCCCUAGAAACAGAAUCCUGGGAGCUGAAUCAAAACAGGAAUGUAAAUUUCCAUGAAAGGACUAAGGUGAUGAAGAUACAAGAUUAUGAAGUCACGAGAUAAGACAGUUAUCAGUGGGACAGGGUGGAGGGGAUGAAUGAGAGAGCAAUUGCAGAGGGAAUAGAAAUACCAUGGCCGUUGACUGUAAGAAAACUGCCCAAACUGUUGGAUUCACUGAGCACUCCAGGAAUUGCAAAGUUUUCCCGGGUCAUCACCUAGCAACAAAACCCAGCAAAACAUCCGCGAAGCAGUUUUUGCAAUGCAGCCAUCACCGACUAGCAGAAGUGACUUGUGGAAGGCUGAAUUUGCCAUGGAGGGAAUUGAAUGCUUUCUUCUUUAUUCAAGUAGAAUGCUGAGAUGUGCAGUCUGGAUCCUGCUUGGACCAAAUUAAUGUACAUUAAAGAAUAAACCAUAAUGCCCGUUGUGAAUAAAAGGUCGG
This 876-nucleotide long non-coding RNA is filed under the name Vulpes vulpes (red fox). Its description in RNAcentral is "lncRNA (ENSVVUG00000006758.1)". Lineage: Eukaryota; Metazoa; Chordata; Mammalia; Carnivora; Canidae. The record is from RNAcentral.